ACGGGGUGCAGCAGGCGCGAAACCUCCUCAAUGCACUGAAGUGUGAAGGGGUUACCUCGAGUGCCGCCUGAAGAAGGCGGCUUUUCCUUGGUCUAAAAAGCCUUGGGAAUCAGAGGGGGGCAAGACUGGUGUCAGCCGCCGCGGUAACACCAGCCCCUCGAGUGGUGGGGAUGAUUAUUUGGCCUAAAGCGUCCGUAGCCGGCCGAGUAAGUUUCCCGUUAAAUCCAGCGUCUCAAGCGUUGGGCUGCGGGAAAUACUGCCCGGCUAGAGAGUGGGAGAGGAAAGCGGUAUUCUGGGGGUAGGGGCGAAAUCCUUUGAUCCCCGGAGGACCACCAGUGGCGAAGGCUGCUUUCUAGAACACGUCUGACGGUCAGGGACGAAAGCUGGGGUAGCGAACCGGAUUAGAUACCCGGGUAGUCCCAGCUGUAAACGAUGCACGCUAGGUGUUGGGUCGGCCACGCGCCGCCCCAGUGCCGCAGGGAAGCCGUUAAGCGUGCCGCCUGGGGAGUACGGCCGCAAGGCUGAAACUUAAAGGAAUUGGCGGGGGAGCAC
This 552-nucleotide ribosomal RNA is filed under the name uncultured archaeon. RNAcentral describes it as "bacterial SSU rRNA". It matches the Rfam family "Archaeal small subunit ribosomal RNA", at positions 325 to 879 of the family's 1478-position model. The record is from RNAcentral.